Molecule: ribosomal RNA, 164 nt
Filed under: uncultured bacterium
Lineage: Bacteria
Description: partial 16S ribosomal RNA
Rfam family: Bacterial small subunit ribosomal RNA
Source: RNAcentral
UAGGGAAUCCUCCACAAUGGGCGAAAGCCUGAUGGAGCAACGCCGCGUGUGUGAUGAAGGGUUUCGGCUCGUAAAACACUGUUGUAAGAGAAGAAUGACAUUGAGAGUAACUGUUCAAUGUGUGACGGUAUCUUACCAGAAAGGAACGGCUAAAUACGUGCCAG